This 894-nucleotide ribosomal RNA is filed under the name uncultured bacterium. RNAcentral's name for it is "bacterial SSU rRNA". It matches the Rfam family "Bacterial small subunit ribosomal RNA", at positions 75 to 957 of the family's 1533-position model. The record is from RNAcentral.
UUAGUUUACUAAAGGGAUUCUUAGUGGCGGACGGGUUAGUAACACGUGAGCAACUUACCUCAAAGUGGGGGAUAGCCUUCCGAAAGGGAGAUUAAUACCGCAUGUGACCCCUGUUAAAGGGUGGUCAAAGGGUGCUUCGGCACUCGCUUUGAGAUAGGCUCGCGUCCUAUCAGUUAGUUGGUGAGGUAAUGGCUCACCAAGACUACGACGGGUAGCUGUUCUGAGAGGAAGAUCAGCAACACUGGAACUGAGACACGGUCCAGACACCUACGGGUGGCAGCAGUCGAGAAUCAUUCACAAUGGACGCAAGUCUGAUGGUGCAACGCCGCGUGGAGGAUGAAGGCCCUAGGGUCGUAAACUCCUGUCAUAGCAGAGUAAGGCAUAUUAGUUAAUAGCUAGUAUGUUUGAUAGUAUGCUAAGAGGAAGGGACGGCUAACUUCGUGCCAGCAGCCGCGGUAAUACGAAGGUCCCGAGCGUUAUUCGGAAUCACUGGGCGUAAAGGGGGCGUAGGCUGCGUGGUAAGUCAGAUGUGAAAUCUCAGAGCUCAACUCUGAAACUGCAUUCGAUACUGCCAUGCUAGAGUAAUGGAGAGGUAACUGGAAUUCUCGGUGUAGCAGUGAAAUGCGUAGAUAUCGAGAGGAAGACCAAUGGCGAAAGCAGGUUACUGGACAUUUACUGACGCUGAGGCUCGAAGGCUAGGGUAGCGAAAGGGAUUAGAUACCCCUGUAGUCCUAGCAGUAAACGAUGUGCGCUUGGUGUGGGAGGGUUCGACCCCUUCCGUGCCGGAGCUAACGCGUUAAGCGCACCGCCUGGGGAGUACGGUCGCAAGACUAAAACUCAAAGAAAUUGACGGGGACCCGCACAAGCGGUGGAGUAUGUGGCUUAAUUCGAUGC